AUGUCCACCACUUCCUGGGUAACGUAGUGAUUGCUCUGGAAGAAAACAUGGUAAUAAUGAAUGCUCCCUCUCUCCUCCUCGUCCUUUCUCCCAGCUUUUAUUGCUGAGCAGAUGGCUUACUCGAGGACAGAUUAGUGGAACUGAGAGUAAAUGGAAGCAGAAGAAUUCAGUCUCUCCCAGGGUUCUCUGGAAAUUCUGAGAGCACAUGUGCUCCCCGUGAUGGCACAAAUCCGAGCAGUUGCUCAGCAAGAAGGCUUUCGGCUAGGGUUCACAGAAAUAUUUGUGGGUUCAGAGACAGCAUUGUUUUUGCAGCCUGGUUGCAGAAAAAGUUGUUUUGUCAAUGUUUCUAUCUAGUCUUAAAGUAAACAAAGCUGAUACAGGUGAACACCCCUGACAUAGCUACCUGUGCUGUGAUAAAGGUGACUUUAACAUCCACUAGUUAUAUCUUCUUUGACAUUUAUUUUUCUCAGUUGUUUAGCAACUUUUAGCUCAUUUCAUGAAGUGAUAGGGAGACUUGUCAUAAUGGUGAUUUGUGAUCACUUAAAACAGGAUGUGGUAAGACAAUUUUAUACAAAUUUAAACCUUUCCUGCGAGGCAGUUCUCAGCCUUGAGUGGUAGAAAUAAUUUUAUGUGUCUGGUAUAAAUAGAGUUUUACUUAAAGAGGAAUGGCUGGAUAUGAUUAUAUGGAGAAGACCUGAUGAAAGAAGGGAGAAGUUGCAUUGUUUGGUUUAGGUGAACUAAAGACGUGGCAUCUCCAAAAGCCAGUGGCACCCCUUUGGUCAAGAUGUCAGUAGUAAACUAGACUGUGAGGUGGGUUUCAAGACAAGAGUGACUUUGAUCAGCCAGUUGGAGAUAGGAUACUGGCUGGAUGACUUCUAGACUGAUCCAUUACUGAUUUUCUUAUGUUUUUGUAAUUGCUUAUCACUUCUGUUGAUUUGGAUUUUUUUAUAUGGUUGCAGUUUUUAUUGAUUGAAAGUCAUACUGAUUGCUGCCAGAAGGAGUUUUUUUGUGGUGCUAGAGGAAGGUGAAACUUAUAAUUAGAAGUAUGGUUAUGAAUCAGAAUCAUCAUUUUUCAGGACUGUAUGUUGUCAUAGAAAUUAUUUGGAAUAACUAGGCUACUCAUAGUCUUGGGCUCUAUUAAAAGCCCAUUAAUGCAUGUUUAACUGAGAUUUGCAGUAUCAUGUGCAUUCCUGAGCCAGCAUCUGACUCUUGACGUAAUAAAUACUCCUGAAAGACAGAUAAUUUGAAGUGAGAGCUGCUUGUUCAGUUUUGCACAAGAGAUUCAUUAAUUGUCAUUCUGGGAUCUCAAGAAGAAGGAACUGUAAUUAUCUAUCAGCAUCAGGAUAUAAAAAAAACCAUUUAAAGCAAAUAUCAGGCUUAUUUUUAACAAACAGGGUAAACUGCAAAGGCUUUUAUGUUUAAAGACUUUCAUGCUCUUUUGUUAUAUUUCUGAAACAAAGUGGGUAAUUACAGUGAUUUAACUACUCAAUAUAAAUUCACUGGAGUGGUUUCUCUAUAUAUGUAAAUUGUAUGUGGUUUGUGUCUUAAACUUACCUGGAGAUUGUGAACCACCAUUAUGUUUGACUUACCCAUCAGCUCUAGAAAGAAUAAAGUAUGCAGCCUGGAUUUUAAUUCAGUUUACAAUGUGUGCUUUAGUUAUAUUCACUGGGUGAAAGAAAAA
This is a long non-coding RNA of Neopelma chrysocephalum (saffron-crested tyrant-manakin), 1681 nucleotides long. RefSeq lists it as uncharacterized. NCBI's taxonomy places the organism in Eukaryota, Metazoa, Chordata, Aves, Passeriformes, Pipridae. The record is from RefSeq and is a predicted model, not a curated record. The transcript is spliced from 2 exons.